Molecule: ribosomal RNA, 460 nt
Filed under: uncultured bacterium
Lineage: Bacteria
Description: partial 16S ribosomal RNA
Rfam family: Bacterial small subunit ribosomal RNA
Source: RNAcentral
CCUACGGGAGGCAGCAGUGAGGAAUAUUGGUCAAUGGGCGCGAGCCUGACCCAGCCAAGUCGCGUGAGGGAAGACGGCCCUACGGGUUGUAAACCUCUUUUGCCGGGGAGCAACGGGCGCCACGUGUGGCGCCACUGAGAGUACCCGGAGAAAAAGCAUCGGCUAACUCCGUGCCAGCAGCCGCGGUAAUACGGAGGAUGCGAGCGUUAUCCGGAUUUAUUGGGUUUAAAGGGUGCGUAGGCGGAGCGUUAAGUCAGUGGUCAAGUUGAGGGGCUCAACCCCUUCCCGCCAUUGAAACUGGCAGUCUUGAGUACAGUAGAGGUGGGCGGAAUUCGUGGUGUAGCGGUGAAAUGCUUAGAUAUCACGAAGAACUCCGAUUGCGAAGGCAGUUCACUGGACUGCAACUGACACUGAGGCUCGAAAGUGUGGGUAUCAAACAGGAUUAGAUACCCCAGUAGUC